Molecule: ribosomal RNA, 253 nt
Filed under: uncultured bacterium
Lineage: Bacteria
Description: partial 16S ribosomal RNA
Rfam family: Bacterial small subunit ribosomal RNA
Source: RNAcentral
UACAGAGGUGGCAAGCGUUGUUCGGAAUUACUGGGCGUAAAGGGCGCGUAGGCGGUCCCGUCAGUCCCUUGUGAAAUCCCCCGGCUCAACUGGGGAACUGCAAGGGAUACAGCGGGGCUUGAGUUCGGGAGAGGGAAGCGGAAUUCCGGGUGUAGCGGUGAAAUGCGUAGAUAUCCGGAGGAACACCGGUGGCGAAGGCGGCUUCCUGGACCGACACUGACGCUGAGGCGCGAAAGCUAGGGGAGCAAACGGG